AUACGUAGGUGGCAAGCGUUGUCCGGAUUUACUGGGUGUAAAGGGCGUGUAGGCGGAGAUGCAAGUCAGGAGUGAAAUCUAGGGGCUCAACCCCUAAACUGCUUUUGAAACUGUAUCCCUUGAGUAUCGGAGAGGCAGGCGGAAUUCCUAUGGUAGAGGGUGGAUGCGUAGGUAUUAGGAGGAACACCAGUGGCGAAGGCGGCCUGCUGGACGACAACUGACGCUGAGGCGCGAAAGCGUGGGGAGCAAACAGGGUUAGAUACCCUGGUAGUCCACGCUGUAAACGAUGAAUACUAGGUGUGGGGGGACUGACCCCCUCCGUGCCGCAGUUAACACAAUAAGUAUUCCACCUGGGGAGUACGAUCGCAAGAUUGAAACUCAAAUGAAUUGACGGGG
This 396-nucleotide ribosomal RNA is filed under the name uncultured bacterium. RNAcentral describes it as "partial 16S ribosomal RNA". It matches the Rfam family "Bacterial small subunit ribosomal RNA", at positions 523 to 918 of the family's 1533-position model. The record is from RNAcentral.